GUUUUGUUUAUAAUUAGUGGAGAUGAAAAUAAUGAAACUUUAUGGUGCAGAAAGUGGCUUUUUCAUUACAGUUUCUGGGUGCUGGGCAACGGUAGAUCACUAUGGCUUCUAUACCGUGAAAUGAAGCUUAUGAUGAAAUACUGAUGUUUGGCCAAUCUCACCCACGAGAUAUAAUAAGAACUGAUGCAGGUUUAUAACUACAUGUAUUGUAUCCGGAACAAAGUUAGUACGUCUUUUAUACCGAAGUUGGAUUUUUCUCCAGAUACAGGCAACUUACCCAACUUCGAAAGUAGUGCGCUGGAUUCGCCUAAAGAUGCGCUAAACAACGCAUCAAUUAGUUUGACAGAUAAAACUUUGGAAGAAAGUUCGGUUUGGAAGUCCCGACAGCAAAGCGAGGUAAAAUGAGUGAAAAUGUAGUUUAAACUGAUUUAAAAUUAAAUUGAAAA
Long non-coding RNA from Armigeres subalbatus, 446 nucleotides. RefSeq lists it as uncharacterized. The transcript has 3 exons. NCBI's taxonomy places the organism in Eukaryota, Metazoa, Arthropoda, Insecta, Diptera, Culicidae. The record is from RefSeq and is a predicted model, not a curated record.